GGGUUGUGAGGUUAAGCGACUAAGCGUACACGGUGGAUGCCCUGGCAGUCAGAGGCGAUGAAGGGCGUGCUAAUCUGCGAUAAGCGCCGGUAAGGUGAUAUGAACCGUUAUAACCGGCGAUACCCGAAUGGGGAAACCCAGUGUGAUUCGUCACACUAUCAUUAACUGAAUCCAUAGGUUAAUGAGGCGAACCGGGGGAACUGAAACAUCUAAGUACCCCGAGGAAAAGAAAUCAACCGAGAUUCCCCCAGUAGCGGCGAGCGAACGGGGAGGAGCCCAGAGCCUGAAUCAGCAUGUGUGUUAGUGGAAGCGUCUGGAAAGGCGCGCGAUACAGGGUGACAGCCCCGUACACAAAAGCGCAUGUGCUGUGAGCUCGAUGAGUAGGGCGGGACACGUGGUAUCCUGUCUGAAUAUGGGGGGACCAUCCUCCAAGGCUAAAUACUCCUGACUGACCGAUAGUGAACCAGUACCGUGAGGGAAAGGCGAAAAGAACCCCGGCGAGGGGAGUGAAAAAGAACCUGAAACCGUGUACGUACAAGCAGUGGGAGCACCCUUUUGGGUGUGAC
Molecule: ribosomal RNA, 566 nt
Filed under: Salmonella enterica subsp. enterica serovar Braenderup
Lineage: Bacteria; Pseudomonadati; Pseudomonadota; Gammaproteobacteria; Enterobacterales; Enterobacteriaceae
Description: partial 23S ribosomal RNA
Rfam family: Bacterial large subunit ribosomal RNA
Source: RNAcentral